RNAcentral lists this ribosomal RNA (153 nucleotides) under uncultured Campylobacterota bacterium. Its description in RNAcentral is "uncultured Epsilonproteobacteria bacterium partial 16S ribosomal RNA". It matches the Rfam family "Bacterial small subunit ribosomal RNA", at positions 355 to 525 of the family's 1533-position model. The record is from RNAcentral. Lineage: Bacteria; Pseudomonadati; Campylobacterota.
UGGGGAAUAUUGCACAAUGGGGGAAACCCUGAUGCAGCAACGCCGCGUGGAGGAAGAAGCAUUUAGGUGUGUAAACUCCUUUUAUCAAGGAAGAAGAUGACGGUACUUGAUGAAUAAGCACCGGCUAACUCCGUGCCAGCAGCCGCGGUAAUA